This 492-nucleotide ribosomal RNA is filed under the name uncultured bacterium. Its description in RNAcentral is "partial 16S ribosomal RNA". It matches the Rfam family "Bacterial small subunit ribosomal RNA", at positions 29 to 507 of the family's 1533-position model. The record is from RNAcentral.
AAUGAACGCUGGCGGCAUGCCUAACACAUGCAAGUCGAACGGCAGCACAGUAAGAGCUUGCUCUUACGGGUGGCGAGUGGCGGACGGGUGAGGAAUACAUCGGAAUCUACUUUUUCGUGGCGGAUAACGUAGGGAAAGUUACGCUAACACCUCAUACGACCUACGGCUGGAUGCAGGGGAUCGUCGGACCUUGCGCGAUUGAAUUAGCCGAUGUCGGAUUAGCUAGUCGGCGGGGUAAAGGCACACCAAGGCGACGAUCCGUAGCUGGUCUGAGAGGAUGAUCGGCCACACUGGAACUGAGACACGGUCCAGACUCCUACGGGAGGCAGCAGUAGGGAAUAUUGGACAAUGGGCGCAAGCCUGAUCCAGCCAUACCGCGUGGGUGAAGAAGGCCUUCGGGUUGUAAAGCCCUUUUGUUGGGGAAGAAAAGCAGCAGGUUAAUACCCCGCUGUUCUGACGGUACCCAAAGAAUAAGCACCGGCUAACUACGUG